GACGAACGCUGGCGGCGUGCUUAACACAUGCAAGUCGAACGGGAUUUAGUAAACGGAAGCCUCGGUGGAAGAUUACUAAUGAGAGUGGCGAACGGGUGAGUAACGCGUGGGCAACCUGCCUAUGACAGUGGGAUAGCCUCGGGAAACCGGGAUUAAUACCGCAUAAAAUCGUAGAAACACAUGUUUCAACGGUCAAAGAUUUAUCGGUCAUAGAUGGGCUCGCGUCUGAUUAGCUAGUUGGUGAGAUAACAGCCCACCAAGGCGACGAUCAGUAGCCGGUCUGAGAGGAUGAACGGCCACAUUGGAACUGAGACACGGUCCAAACUCCUACGGGAGGCAGCAGUGGGGAAUAUUGCACAAUGGGGGAAACCCUGAUGCAGCGACGCCGCGUGAACGAAGAAGGUAUUCGUAUCGUAAAGUUCUGUCCUAUGGGAAGAUAAUGACAGUACCAUAGAAGAAAGCUCCGGCUAAAUACGUG
This 478-nucleotide ribosomal RNA is filed under the name uncultured bacterium. Its description in RNAcentral is "partial 16S ribosomal RNA". It matches the Rfam family "Bacterial small subunit ribosomal RNA", at positions 28 to 507 of the family's 1533-position model. The record is from RNAcentral.